This 253-nucleotide ribosomal RNA is filed under the name uncultured bacterium. RNAcentral describes it as "partial 16S ribosomal RNA". It matches the Rfam family "Bacterial small subunit ribosomal RNA", at positions 524 to 776 of the family's 1533-position model. The record is from RNAcentral.
UACGUAGGGGGCAAGCGUUGUCCGGAAUUAUUGGGCGUAAAGAGCGCGCAGGCGGUUUUGUAAGUCCACCGUGAAAGCUUACGGCUCAACCGUAACGGGUCGGUGGAUACUGCAAGACUUGAGGGCAGGAGAGGAAAGUGGAAUUCCCAGUGUAGCGGUGAAAUGCGUAGAUAUUGGGAGGAACACCAGUGGCGAAGGCGACUUUCUGGACUGUUACUAACGCUGAGGCGCGAAAGCUGGGGAAGUGAACGGG